This 253-nucleotide ribosomal RNA is filed under the name uncultured bacterium. RNAcentral's name for it is "partial 16S ribosomal RNA". It matches the Rfam family "Bacterial small subunit ribosomal RNA", at positions 524 to 776 of the family's 1533-position model. The record is from RNAcentral.
UACGGAGGGUGCAAACGUUGCUCGGAAUCACUGGGCGUAAAGCGCACGUAGGCGGUCCGAUAAGUCGGAUGUGAAAGCCCUGGGCUCAACCUAGGAAGUGCAUUCGAAACUGUCGGACUUGAGUACGGGAGAGGGUUGCGGAAUUCCCGGUGUAGAGGUGAAAUUCGUAGAUAUCGGGAGGAACACCUGUGGCGAAAGCGGCUCACUGGACCAUAACUGACGCUGAGGCACGAAAGCUAGGGGAGCAAACAGG